ACCCACUGAGUGACCACUGAGUGACCAUUGACCGCUGAGUGACCAUUGACCGCUGAGUGACCAUUGACCACGGAGUUACCACCUGGGAGUGACCACAGGCUGGCCUGAGAGUGACCACUGAGUGACCACUGAUCACUGAGUGACCACGGGCUGGCCUGAGAAUGACCAUGGAGUGACCACUGACCACUGAGUGACCACCCAGGAAUGGCCACUGACCAACUGACCAUCCAAAAAUGACCGCAGCUGUGGUCACUCAUGGAGAGUGGACAAUACAGAGUGGACAUCGGAAUGGACAUUGGAGUGGACACCGAGUGGACACAGAGUGGACAUUGCAGUGGACCCAG
Molecule: long non-coding RNA, 344 nt
Filed under: Zonotrichia albicollis (white-throated sparrow)
Lineage: Eukaryota; Metazoa; Chordata; Aves; Passeriformes; Passerellidae
Description: lncRNA (ENSZALG00000000383.1)
Source: RNAcentral